UACGUAGGGGGCAAGCGUUAUCCGGAUUUACUGGGUGUAAAGGGAGCGUAGACGGCAGUGCAAGUCUGGAGUGAAAGGCGGGGGCUCAACCCCCGGACUGCUCUGGAAACUGUACGGCUGGAGUGCAGGAGAGGUAAGUGGAAUUCCUAGUGUAGCGGUGAAAUGCGUAGAUAUAUGGAGGAACACCGGUGGCGAAAGCGGCUCUCUGGCCUGUAACUGACACUGAGGCUCGAAAGCGUGGGGAGCAAACAGG
Molecule: ribosomal RNA, 253 nt
Filed under: uncultured bacterium
Lineage: Bacteria
Description: partial 16S ribosomal RNA
Rfam family: Bacterial small subunit ribosomal RNA
Source: RNAcentral